ACACGUACUGUGCGAACGUUAUUCGGAAUCACUGGGCUUAAAGGGUAUGUAGGCGGUUAAUCAAGUCAGAUGUGAAAUGCCACAGCUCAACUGUGGCACUGCGUUUGAAACUGAUUGGCUAGAGUAUUCCAGAGGUAUGCGGAACUGCCAGUGGAGCGGUGAAAUGCGUUGAUAUUGGCAGGAACACCAGAGGCGAAGGCGGCAUACUGGGGGAUAACUGACGCUGAGAUACGAAAGCCAGGGUAGCAAACGGGAUUAGAUACCCCGGUAGUCUUAGCUGUAAACGAUGAGCACUUGAUUGGAGGGUCCUCCAUAGCCUUCCAGUCGUAGCGAAAGUGUUAAGUGCUCCGCCUGGGGGAGUAUGGUCGCAAGGCUGAAACUCAAAGAAAUUGACGGGGGCUCACACAAGCGGUGGAGGAUGUGGCUUAAUUCGAGGCUACGCGAAGAACCUUAUCCUAGUCUUGACAUGUAUGGAUUAACCCUGUG
This 486-nucleotide ribosomal RNA is filed under the name uncultured Planctomycetia bacterium. RNAcentral describes it as "bacterial SSU rRNA". It matches the Rfam family "Bacterial small subunit ribosomal RNA", at positions 523 to 1005 of the family's 1533-position model. Lineage: Bacteria; Pseudomonadati; Planctomycetota; Planctomycetia. The record is from RNAcentral.